GCGAGCGGCGGAUGGGUGAGUAACACGUGGGGAACCUGCCCCUAAGUCUGGGAUACCAUUUGGAAACAGGUGCUAAUACCGGAUAAUAAAGCAGAUCGCAUGAUCAGCUUUUGAAAGGCGGCGUAAGCUGUCGCUAAGGGAUGGCCCCGCGGUGCAUUAGCUAGUUGGUAAGGUAACGAGCUUACCAAGGCGACGAUGCAUAGCCGAGUUGAGAGACUGAUCGGCCACAUUGGGACUGAGACACGGCCCAAACUCCUACGGGAGGCAGCAGUAGGGAAUCUUCCACAAUGGACGCAAGUCUGGUGGAGCAACGCCGCGUGAGUGAAGAAGGUUUUCGGAUCGUAAAGCUCUGUUGUUGGUGAAGAAGGAUAGAGGUAGUAACUGGCCUUUAUUUGACGGUAAUCAACCAGAAAGUCACGGCUAACUACGUGCCAGCAGCCGCGGUAAUACGUAGGUGGCAAGCGUUGUCCGGAUUUAUUGGGCGUAAAGCGAGCGCAGGCGGAAAAAUAAGUCUAAUGUGAAAGCCCUCGGCUUAACCGAGGAACUGCAUCGGAAACUGUUUUUCUUGAGUGCAGAAGAGGAGAGUGGAACUCCAUGUGUAGCGGUGGAAUGCGUAGAUAUAUGGAAGAACACCAGUGGCGAAGGCGGCUCUCUGGUCUGCAACUGACGCUGAGGCUCGAAAGCAUGGGUAGCGAACAGGAUUAGAUACCCUGGUAGUCCAUGCCGUAAACGAUGAGUGCUAAGUGUUGGGGAGGUUUCCGCCUCUCAGUGCUGCAGCUAACGCAUUAAGC
RNAcentral lists this ribosomal RNA (791 nucleotides) under uncultured bacterium. RNAcentral's name for it is "bacterial SSU rRNA". It matches the Rfam family "Bacterial small subunit ribosomal RNA", at positions 91 to 865 of the family's 1533-position model. The record is from RNAcentral.